UGAGGAAUAUUGGGCAAUGCCCGCAAGGGUGACCCAGCAACGCCGCGUGGAGGAUGAAUGUCGUAAGAUUGUAAACUCCUGUUAGAGGGGAAGAAUAGUACCGGUUGGACCGGUAUAUGACUGUACCCUCAGAGAAAGCCCCGGCUAACUACGUGCCAGCAGCCGCGGUAAUACGUAGGGGGCAAGCGUUGUCCGGAUUUACUGGGGGUAAAGGGCGCGCAGGCGGGAUAAAAAGUCAGUGGUGAAAUCCUACAGCUUAACUGUAGAACUGCCUUUGAUACUUUUAUUCUUGAGUUCGGGAGAGAGAGACGGAAUUCCAGGUGUAGUGGUGAAAUACGUAGAUAUCUGGAAGAACACCAGUUGCGAAGGCGGUCUCUUGGUCCGACACUGACGCUGAGGCGCGAAAGCGUGGG
Molecule: ribosomal RNA, 413 nt
Filed under: uncultured bacterium
Lineage: Bacteria
Description: bacterial SSU rRNA
Rfam family: Bacterial small subunit ribosomal RNA
Source: RNAcentral